RNAcentral lists this ribosomal RNA (418 nucleotides) under uncultured eukaryote. RNAcentral's name for it is "bacterial SSU rRNA". It matches the Rfam family "Bacterial small subunit ribosomal RNA", at positions 207 to 638 of the family's 1533-position model. The record is from RNAcentral.
UUUAUAUAACGUUAAAAGAUGAGUUUGCGUAAGAUUAGGUAGUUGGUAGUUUAAUAGACUUACCAAGCCUGCAAUCUUUAGCUGGUUUGAAAGAACGAUCAGCCACAUUGGGACUGAGAAACGGCCCAAACUUUUUAAAAAAGGCAGCAGUGAGGAAUUUUGGACAAUGAGCGAAAGCUUGAUCCAGCAAUACCAAGUGAGUGAAGAAGGCUAAAUAGGUUGUAAAACUCUUUCGUUAAGGAGGAAAAUGACAGUACUUAAAGAAGAAGUUCUGGCUAAUACCCGUGCCAGCAGUCGCGGUAAUACGGGAAGAGCGAGCAUUAUUCAAAAUGAUUAGGCGUAAAGGGUUUGUAGGUUGUUUUUUAAGUUGAAAAGAAAAUAAUAAAGCUCAACUUUAUCUCUUUUUUCAAAACUAAAA